Molecule: ribosomal RNA, 893 nt
Filed under: uncultured bacterium
Lineage: Bacteria
Description: bacterial SSU rRNA
Rfam family: Bacterial small subunit ribosomal RNA
Source: RNAcentral
AGAGUUUGAUCAUGGCUCAGGAUGAACGCUGGCGGCGUGCCUAAUACAUGCAAGUCGAGCGAACCACUUCGGUGGUGAGCGGCGAACGGGUGAGUAACACGUAGGUGAUCUGCCCAUCAGACGGGGACAACGAUUGGAAACGAUCGCUAAUACCGGAUAGGACGAAAGUUUAAAGGUGCUUCUGGCACCGCUGAUGGAUGAGCCUGCGGCGCAUUAGCUAGUUGGUAGGGUAAAGGCCUACCAAGGCGACGAUGCGUAGCCGACCUGAGAGGGUGAACGGCCACACUGGGACUGAGACACGGCCCAGACUCCUACGGGAGGCAGCAGUAGGGAAUCUUCGGCAAUGGGCGAAAGCCUGACCGAGCAACGCCGCGUGAAUGAUGAAGGCCUUCGGGUUGUAAAAUUCUGUUAUAAGGGAAGAACGACUUUAGUAGGAAAUGGCUAGAGUGUGACGGUACCUUAUGAGAAAGCCACGGCUAACUACGUGCCAGCAGCCGCGGUAAUACGUAGGUGGCGAGCGUUAUCCGGAAUUAUUGGGCGUAAAGAGCGCGCAGGUGGUUGAUUAAGUCUGAUGUGAAAGCCCACGGCUCAACCGUGGAGGGUCAUUGGAAACUGGUCGACUUGAGUGCAGAAGAGGGAAGUGGAAUUCCAUGUGUAGCGGUGAAAUGCGUAGAGAUAUGGAGGAACACCAGUGGCGAAGGCGGCUUCCUGGUCUGUAACUGACACUGAGGCGCGAAAGCGUGGGGAGCAAACAGGAUUAGGUACCCUGGUAGUCCACGCCGUAAACGAUGAGUGCUAAGUGUUGGGGGUCGAACCUCAGUGCUGAAGUUAACGCAUUAAGCACUCCGCCUGGGGAGUACGGUCGCAAGACUGAAACUCAAAUGAAUUGACGG